AAAGUCUAAAACGACUCUCGGCAACGGAUAUCUCGGCUCUCGCAUCGAUGAAGAACGUAGCGAAAUGCGAUACUUGGUGUGAAUUGCAGAAUCCCGUGAACCAUCGAGUCUUUGAACGCAAGUUGCGCCCCAAGCCUUCUGGCCGAGGGCACGUCUGCCUGGGUGUCACAA
This 171-nucleotide ribosomal RNA is filed under the name Capsella bursa-pastoris (shepherd's purse). Its description in RNAcentral is "5.8S ribosomal RNA". It matches the Rfam family "5.8S ribosomal RNA". Rfam says of the family: 5.8S ribosomal RNA (5.8S rRNA) is a component of the large subunit of the eukaryotic ribosome. Lineage: Eukaryota; Viridiplantae; Streptophyta; Magnoliopsida; Brassicales; Brassicaceae. The record is from RNAcentral. RNAcentral also lists the same sequence under 3 other names.